Molecule: long non-coding RNA, 216 nt
Filed under: Lathyrus oleraceus (garden pea)
Lineage: Eukaryota; Viridiplantae; Streptophyta; Magnoliopsida; Fabales; Fabaceae
Description: Pisum sativum (pea) long non-coding RNA (PSAT_LNC029953)
Source: RNAcentral
AAAAUGUGACCAAUUUCAUGUCAUUUGGAUUUGAAUUGAUAGAGUUAUGCAUUUUUGAAGUUUGGGAAAAUCACUUGAUCAAUAGUAUAGGUCAAAAGUGACCUACAAUGUAGCCUCAUAUCACAUGCUCAAAAAAGUUGAAUUAGCUCCCAUUCCAAACAUAAAAGUUGAAGUAGACACAUUACAUUUGAUUGUUCAACUUGGAAAUCUUCCAUC